Molecule: ribosomal RNA, 303 nt
Filed under: uncultured bacterium
Lineage: Bacteria
Description: partial 16S ribosomal RNA
Rfam family: Bacterial small subunit ribosomal RNA
Source: RNAcentral
AGCAGCCGCGCGGGAAUACGAAGGGUGCAAGCGUUACUCGGAAUUACUGGGCGUAAAGCGUGCGUAGGUGGUGGUUUAAGUCCGUUGUGAAAGCCCUGGGCUCAACCUGGGAAUUGCAGUGGAUACUGGGUCACUAGAGUGUGGUAGAGGAUAGUGGAAUUUCCGGUGUAGCAGUGAAAUGCGUAGAGAUCGGAAGGAACAUCUGUGGCGAAGGCGACUAUCUGGGCCAACACUGACACUGAGGCACGAAAGCGUAGGGAGCAAACAGGAUUAGAUACCCGCGUAGUCCCUGUCUCUUAUACA